RNAcentral lists this ribosomal RNA (254 nucleotides) under uncultured bacterium. RNAcentral describes it as "partial 16S ribosomal RNA". It matches the Rfam family "Bacterial small subunit ribosomal RNA", at positions 524 to 776 of the family's 1533-position model. The record is from RNAcentral.
UACGUAGGGUGCGAGCGUUGUCCGGAAUUAUUGGGCGUAAAGAGCUCGUAGGCGGUGUGUCACGUCGAUCGUGAAAACUUUCAGCUUAACUGGGAGCUUGCGGUCGAUACGGGCAUCGCUGGAGUUCGGCAGGGGAGACUGGAAUUCAAGGUGUAGCGGUGAAAUGCGCAGAUAUCUUGAGGAACACCGGUGGCGAAGGCGGGUCUCUGGGCCGAUACUGACGCUGAGGAGCGAAAGCGUGGGGAGCGAACAGG